UUAGCCGGUUUGCAUUUCAUUACAGAGGGUGUCACCCAUUGUGCAUCGGCACAGUGACAUGCAUCCUAUGAGGAUUCUCAGAUUUUGUACCAGAUUUAUGAAAGAAUGUUUCACUACCACUGACUUGAUAUUCCUCACAUUGCUGGCUGAACUCAUUUCAUUACCAGUGGAAAAGAAAGAAAAUUAUUUAGAACAAGAAGCCAUCAGCACCAUAAAAUAGCACAUGGAGAACUAAGGAAAAUUUUGCAGCCUCAAAGGAAGAACACUAUUGAAAGAAUAAGCAUGUUCCAACCAUAUGUUUUCAUGUAAUAGUUUACAAAUGUAUCCAACCACAUAAAAACUAAUAUUAGGCAUUCUGGCAG
RNAcentral lists this long non-coding RNA (362 nucleotides) under Fukomys damarensis (Damara mole-rat). RNAcentral's name for it is "lncRNA (ENSFDAG00000023480.1)". The record is from RNAcentral. Lineage: Eukaryota; Metazoa; Chordata; Mammalia; Rodentia; Bathyergidae.